This 443-nucleotide ribosomal RNA is filed under the name uncultured bacterium. Its description in RNAcentral is "partial 16S ribosomal RNA". It matches the Rfam family "Bacterial small subunit ribosomal RNA", at positions 338 to 795 of the family's 1533-position model. The record is from RNAcentral.
GCUACGGGAGGCAGCAGUGGGGAAUAUUGGGCAAUGGAGGAAACUCUGACCCAGCAACGCCGCGUGACUGAUGAAGGUCUUCGGAUUGUAAAGUUCUUUUCUACGGGAAGAAGAACGUGACGGUACCUUAGGAAUAAGCCUCGGCUAACUAAGUGCCAGCAGCCGCGGUAAUACGUAGGAGGCAAGCGUUAUCCGGAAUGACUGGGCGUAAAGGGUGCGUAGGUGGUUUGACAAGUUAGUAGCGCAACUCCGGAGCUCAACUUCGGAACUACUACUAACACUGGUGGACUUGAGUGCAGGAGUGGCAAUCGGAAGUCCUGGUGUAGCGGUGGAAUGCGUAGAUAUUAGGAGGAACACCAGUGGCGAAGGCGGAUUGCUAGACUGUAACUGACACUGAGGCACGAAAGCGUGGGGAGCAAACAGGAUUAGAUACCCGAGUAGUC